UACGGAGGAUGCGAGCGUUAUCCGGAUUUAUUGGGUUUAAAGGGUGCGCAGGCGGCACGGCAAGCCGGCGGUCAAAUCGCGGGGCUCAACCCCGCCCAGCAGUCGGAACUGCCGGGCUAGAGUGGGCGAGAAGUGCGCGGAAUGCGUGGUGUAGCGGUGAAAUGCAUAGAUAUCACGCAGAACUCCGAUUGCGAAGGCAGCGCACCGGCGCCCUACUGACGCUCAGGCACGAAAGCGUGGGUAUCGAACAGG
RNAcentral lists this ribosomal RNA (252 nucleotides) under uncultured bacterium. RNAcentral describes it as "partial 16S ribosomal RNA". It matches the Rfam family "Bacterial small subunit ribosomal RNA", at positions 524 to 776 of the family's 1533-position model. The record is from RNAcentral.